Molecule: ribosomal RNA, 129 nt
Filed under: Escherichia coli
Lineage: Bacteria; Pseudomonadati; Pseudomonadota; Gammaproteobacteria; Enterobacterales; Enterobacteriaceae
Also listed under: 1 other name
Description: partial 23S ribosomal RNA
Rfam family: Bacterial large subunit ribosomal RNA (bases 1-111)
Source: RNAcentral
ACUUUAAGUCUCCUGAAGGAACGUUGAAGACGACGACGUUGAUAGGCCGGGUGUGUAAGCGCAGCGAUGCGUUGAGCUAACCGGUACUAAUGAACCGUGAGGCUUAACCUUACAACGCCGAAGGUGUUU